CCCCCCCCCCCCUUUGCUCGUUUCUUGUUGGGUAAGCUCCUUGCGAUCGAAUGUUUGGGGUUUUGAAAAAGAAGUCUCUUCCUUCUCAAGUAACUUUUUCCAUUCAAAAUACAUAUUUUGCCCUUUUCUUUUUCCCUACUAAGAAAUUGAAACCUUUUCUGUGGGUCCCAACAUUCACAUAAAUGUCAGCUCUAGGCCAGUAAUUCAGUAUGUGUCUCCAAAGAAAAAGGUUUUGAGAACAGUAGACUGUGAACUUGCAGAGUAAUCGUAAAAAUCCCUGUUUAGAACAUGGGUAUGUUUCGUCUUGUUUGGCCUUGUGUUUCUAAUUGAGCACAAAUCCUCAUUUUAUUUUUAAAUAUGCAGAUAUGGCCAUAAUCUGCCAGUGACUGCUCAGCAUAGGUAAUCUGUAAUAACAGUCACAGAUUCACUUUAGUUCCUUGUGUGCAGAGUUAAACCUCUUAUUGUCAGUUAGCUCAGCAUCCCAGUUCAUUAUCAGGGAUUUGAAACACCAUUUUUGGUUACACCGGGAUGUGGAACUGCUGUGUAUAUUUUUGGCGUCAUCUAGAUGUUUAAAUUUCUGUAAUAUUAAAGUGUGCUCUAGAUGCUUGUUAACUUCAGAUUAAUUCAAGUAAUUAAUCUGUUUUAUAUAUGAAGCAACUGAAGAGCAAGAGGUUACUGAGAAACUCCCACUACAUAAAAGUGUUGGAUUUUCUUUCCAACCAUUAAUUGAUAUUUCUAAAUUCAGUUUGUGGGAUUUUAUUUUGAUUCUAUCUCUGCUACAUUUUAUUCCACCUCUCCUUGAACCAGAUUUAUUUUACUUCUGUCUCUUUUUCUCAAUUCCUCUUACCUCAAGCUGCUGGGGUUCAGCUGUUCUAGUCCUUUCUAAACUCUCUAUUUGCAGCAUGUCAUCUUGUCUUCCUCUCAGUCCCUGCUGCUCUAGCACUGGGUACUUGAAUGCUCCAGUGGAGCUGUCCUAUUGCUUGGAGUUUAAUAUAGCUGUGAGGAGUAGAUUUGGAGGGAAGAAAAAACCCAAAAAGGACAGUUUCAAAGCUGCUGUUGAAGAUAUUGUGUUGGGGUGAAAUGCAAGAAUCGUCUCUAUUCAUUGUGCUGCUCUUUGGGAGAAUCCUGGGUAGCUAGAGAAGUUCAUGUGUACAGACUCAAGGAAAACACUACGUUAUUGAUGUUCUUAGCAACCCUAAGUGCUAAAACUUAAAACAAACACCCCACCUCCACCCCAUUAAUACACACCCUGUUCCAUUUCCCUAAAGUAAUUUAAAUUGCCAGCUUCUGGUGAAGUUGCUUCCUCCCCUUGUCUCUUGCAUAUCUCUUCCUCAUACCUAAAUUUGAUACGUUUUCUUCUUCCAAAAGAUUUCCCUCUCUGAAAGUCCCUCUGUGUGUGUUUAACAAAGGAUACUGAGAAUGCUUUUAAGCACGGAAUUGAAUGGGGUUUUUUGGAGGUAAAGUACAAAACCAUUUUAGAAAAAUAAAGUCCAAAGUGUAACAGUGCUCUGUGACUUUUAUCUUCAUGGCAGUAUGUUGUAAAUAGUUUCAGCUUCAAAUUGAUCAGUUUUAUGAGGUUUCAGGACCUGCCUCGUUCCUAGUAUGAAUCUUGCAUAAAUUGUUGGGUCAUGUAAAUGUGUUAAUUGUUACCUUUUUUGUUUUCAUACUUUUAUAUAAUUAUAAAGGAGUUAUUGCACUUGUCCAGGAUCUCCAGCUGAAAUUAUGUUGCGAUCUUAACCCCCUUGCUCUAAAUAUACCUAUGUUGUCUUUUAAAAUGAAUUUUGACAAUAUUCUGUGAGAUUUGGAAAUAGAUUGUUAGGUGAUUUAGUGUUCUGUUUCACCUUGGGUGUUUGUAGAAGUCUUUGAGAUUUUUUUCCUGUAAUAAACACUCUAUUUUCCAGUAUUUAUGCAUCAGUAUGUGAAAAUCUUUCUUGUAGUAAUCAGACAUACUCAUUCAUAUUUAGUUUUGAAAGUAAAUGAGGUGUGUGGGAUUUUCUGUGUUAACAUCAUUCCCUGAAAAGUCAUUGUAAUACCACACCAUGUGGCAUUCAGAAAAAAUAUACCUGUGGUUUGAACUAGUGCAUUUGGCAAUAAAUACGGCUUAGGUAAUUUACUUUCCCCUCUUGUUUCUAGCUUCUGCAGUUGUCUGCUCCUUUGGACUGUGGGUUAAUGGCAAUUUAUCAAACUAAGCUUGUGCUCUUAAGGGACCAAAACCACAGAGGGACUGACAGACCACUUGCCCACAAGGAGCCUAUUCAGGGGAGCUGUCCUAGCAGGAAAUAUCUUUUGGAGGGAGUAGGAUAAUUUCUGCUGGUCUAGCUCUCUGAACUGGCUGGCAGGUCAAGCAAAUGUCAGCUCUAGCACAAGGAAGAGUGUGAGAAUGCAAAGCUGGUGAAAAAGAGUGAAAACAAAGCAGCAGAGAUACAGAUAAACUUGAACUGUCUUGGAGUUGCAUCUUUGGUUGUCCCAGUAUGGCCUUUUGUGGGAGAUAGCUCAGGGAACUGAUCUGGCUGAAACCUUCCUUCAUUGUCAUGCAUUUCAUCCCCUUUCUGUGAGAAGGGAGAUGCUGAGACUGGUGGAGCAUAGGUCUGUGAGCAGUUCAUUGAUCAGUGAUGAAAUUAAGGGAGCACCUUCAUGGCCUGGAGGUGGAAGGAAGUGUGGAGAAGGAUUGUCUAAGCUCUCUUAGCAGUGACUUGUAAUGGGACUGUGGAACCACAGAGCAGGGGUAGCUGUGACUGGUGCAUGGAUCUUGAUGCCCUGGUAGGACUUUGUAGAGACACAAUGUGCCAGAUCACAACUAUUUUGAUGCUGACAUUUGUGUUCCCUGUACCAGUCUUGAGUGUUAAGAUCUUUUUCAGUGGUCAAAAGCAGAUACCUAGACACAAAGGCAUGUGGUGAUUUAAUUUUUUUUCCUUCUCCCAGACUCUAAUCAUUCUGUGUUCAGGCACUUGCUGAAUUUGAAAUGGUUGAUGAGAUUGGAUCUGAUAAAAAUGGGGAGUUUGAGGAAGGAAAUAACCCGCAGAUCCCUGAAACCCUCCUGACACCUUUUAUACAGGCAGUUAAUAGCAUGGCAGUGCUGCGUGAUCACUGGAGUAGUGUGAGGUGAUCGCAUGCAUUUCUUUUAGCUGGUGAUGCUUAGCCCUUUGUUAAAUAUUAGCUGUACUCUUGGAGACUCCCUGACUGAAUUAUGGUCUGUGUGGGGGCAGGGAGGGAAUGGUUCACUACUCUUCAGAAGUGAUCCUAGUUUUGGGAGCAAAAUGAGGAUUUCAAGGGAAAACUUUACCAUUCUCAUAAGAUUUCCAAUCAUCUUGAGCUCUGCCAGUGUUUCAUUGAAAUGCUGCUUAGGUGUUAUGCUGUCAAAAUAAACUGAAGUAAUUCAUUUUUUUUUUUUCCCUUUUUUAUGUUAUUGUUGCUGAUUAAAUACUGCAACCUAAGUACCUGAUCUCUUUCUGUUUAGUUUGUUGUAUAGUGGUGGUCUUCUGUGACCUUGGAUACUGUGGAUUCUGAGGAAGAAAUAUGAUACAUCAGGAAGUGUUAGAAUAUAAUAAUAAUCAAGAGAAGGUGUAUAGCAGUUGAAUAAUUCUGAAAUCUUUAUUACUUUUCUUAUCUUGAUUAUGGCUCCUGUAUAGCUCCAGCCUGUGUGUAAUAUGAAUUAGCUGCUGCUUCCAAACAGUUAGCUGUGUUACCUUGUUUUGGAAGUAGGCUCAAGCCUUCAAGUGUUUAACAUGGUUCUAGUUCAAAGGUCAGAUCGUAUUUCUUUGUUCCAAAAUGAGAAAGCUUAUUAUAGCUGUGAUGUUGAUGAAAAAUAAUGAUAAAAAGUGAGUUAAAGUUUAAAUGUAGGGCUUUUUUAUACUGGUGUUUGUUUUAUAUACACCCCCAGCUUUGUCCCCAGAAUGUGAGUGGUACUGUUUGCCUUAUCUCAACCUGCUGACAACGUAGCUGCAGAUUGUGGUUUCUGUUAUUAAUAUAAAUCCAUUGUACAGCAAUUUUACAGUAUAGUAGCUGAAGGCUCGUUCAAGAAGAUCUCUUCUAUGCUCCAACAUUUCUGCUUGUUGGCAGUAUGAAUAGAGGGAAGGAGAAUUACCCUUUUAUUACAAAGUUAUGCAGGAAAAGAUUGAGGCAACUAUCAUUUAGAAAUAAAAAUCCUUCGUUGGAAGGAGUAAAAUUUACAGUGUGAUUUUUAGUUUUACUUUAAAUGUGCAUAGAAGGAUGGUAUGUAUCUGAAGAACAGCAGAAACUGAACUGCAGGGGAUGAAUCUGGAAUCUAGAUCAGUUUCAAGUUUUUUGAAUUCACUACAAAUCACUUUGGAUUUGCCCUUGUUUCCCUGCUUGGACAUGAAGAAUAACUUCUUUCAGGGACGAUGUCAACCAAUCAAAAGCAUACUCAAAAAAUUAUUGAUAAUCACUUUGAGUUAUGCCAUGUUGAGGUAUUCUUCUGAUGCCUGUGACAUGAAAUUUCAGAUUAGGCGUAAUAAUUCGGGUUUUUUCACAUUUCAACAAAAAUGUAUUUUAAUUUGUGUGAGGUAGCAACAAUCAUUGCAGGGUGGGAUGUUUCCUUCUUGGGAUAUGUUUGUCCUGCAGGAAGUGUAGGCAUUUGGACUUUUUAACUAAGAAAUAAUGACAUUUAGAAUUCAUCUGCUCUAAUAGAACUUCAAAAUUAAUCACAGUAAUCCAUUCCAUGCAUGUAGAAAAUCCAUCUAGAUAAAAUCUUUGCAGCAUUUAUGCUGGGAUGUAUAUAUUAGAGUUUUACAGCUUUGUGAUACAGUACCAUUUUAAAAGAGUACUUGAAGGACUCUUGCAAAAUUUUAAGCCAUUUCUUGACAGUUUGUGCCAUAUGUUGAUGAUAGUCCAAAUGCUAUCAUGUAUUAAAGUCCAGUAACUGCACUUUAAUUAAUAAUGGGUGAUAAAAAAAAAAUCCCAAUUUCUAUGCUCAGUUGUCUAAAUCCUUAUUAUGUGUUACUUUUGUGACUCAACAGUCUGCCAUCUUAGGCUAUUGUACAUCCAGGCAAGUACUGUCAUGUGUCCUUAUGGGGUUUUGGGGGUUAGCUUGUUUUUGUUUGCUUUGUUUUUGUCUGAGAAUUUGUGUUCUUUCAUUCCUAUUGUAAAAUCACAUCGAGAAUACUUCCUAGAAGUCAGUUUAGGCAAGGUUUGAGGAAAAACAGGCAUUUAAUAGGGUUAAAGAAAAUUAGCCCCAUCUUACUGGUUGGGGUAGAGCAAAGAGUACUGCAGUAUUUUACAGGUGACUUUCCAAUCCUCUUCUUCACCCUUCUGUGUAUACAUGUUUUCACUCUUAAGAGGAUGAGGCUUUGGUUCUCAAAGGUGGCUGGCAUAGAUAUUUAUAACUCUGAGAAAUACAAAGCUUUUGGGAUUUUCUGAGGGCAGGGUUGGAUGGGAUGGGCUGAGACAAUUUAUGGUCUGCCUCUGGUCUGGCUUAGUGCUUAUUUUUACUAAACUGACAGAAGUCUGCAAAACUAGCUAAUCUUCUGGUGAUGUGCAGUAACCUGAGUCAUCCUAGGUGGGAAUGAGAUGAUCAGAACUCAUCUGAAACACUCCAUGGGAUCACAUCUGUGUGGGGAAGGGAAGUGGGUAGAAUAAUCUAUUCCAAAGGUACAGAGUCUUCUAGUUUGUAUCUUGUUUCUUGUAACCAUGCUACAGUCUGUGGUUAUGUUUGACAGUAGUGCUGUCUAAACCGGCUUAAAUAGUCUCCUCUGUUCAAACACAACUAUGUGUGGCAGCUGGGUGAAUCAGUUCCCUGACUAGACCUGACUGGAAAACAAUCUUAUUUUUUUUUCUUUUUGGCUAUAACAUCUGCAGAGGAAGAAGAGGCACAGAGAGUGAGGAGUUGAGACUAUUCAAUUGGUAUUGUCACACAUGCAAAAAUACAUCUUUCACUGAGUAGGUGUUAGUUUUUGUGUGCUUCAUGUUCAUUGCAGAAGUAGGAAGACUAAAGUAAUCUCCCUCUUCAUGGUCUCUCCCUGAUAAAGAACUGUGGGUUUUGCUUUCCUAACCAGUUUCUCUUUAAUAAAGUUGCAGCUUUAUACCUCCUCUCCUCAUAUCUCUGUAGGCCUCUGGGGUUUCUCAUUUUUCUCUCAUAAAUCUGUAUGGCCAUUUUGGGAAAUGAGAGCUUCAGUUUCUUUCUUUUUCUCUUGAAGAAUGCCUUACUGUUAUUUCUCUGGAUAUCUUUUAAGUAAUUUACCUUUUCCCUCAGAUUUAGUUCACCUUGUAUGUUGUGUGUAGUAUCACAUGCUCUUUAUGGUGAGUUGACAAAAAAAUGGAACUCUCAAAGCUAAGUAGAAGAUUUGAGUUGCACAUCAAUGCUGCUGACAUGUGAAAGAUGAAGUAGAGGUUAUGGUUUUGCAAUGUUUCUGCAGGACACCAGUUCCUCUAUGGUAAAAUCGCUACUAGAUGAUGUCUUCGUCUCUUUUCCUACAGAGAAGAGAAGGAUGGUAAUCCUCUUGCAUUUUCUAGGAGGGGUGGCAAAGUGGCUGCACAGGGAAGACUUGCAGGAACACAAAGGAUGUUCCUUAUGCCCUGAGGACCAUGAUAUUUUAUGGGAGGGAGUAGAGGGGGAGAAAAGAGGACUGGACAAGAGCCUAGUAUUCAUUAACAAAGGAAGCUUUCAGAAGCUGAAUCCAGCAGCGUGGAAAGACAUCAGAGGCCACCAGACAAUCUUAACUCUUGAGCUGAGUUUACUAAUGAAAACUUUCCUGGUUGUCUUUGAUUACUUUUUGCAUACACCUAUAGUACAGGUGUUUCAGUGUGUAACUGGAGAGGUGAGUCCAUCUGAUGUCCUUUGCCCUCUGCUGCUGCAGGGGUGGUGGUCGUUUUGAAAAUGGUUUAACUGUCAGAAUAAGAAGAGGAACAGGUAGUCAAGAGUCAGAGUUCUCAAUUUAUUUAUUUAUUUUUUGUUGGUUGCCCUAACAAAAGGAUGUGAAAGCUUCAACCCACAGCCUGUAGUUCCCUGCUCUUAAUACUUCAAGGCUGGUUCUUAGUGCUGAGGCUCCUGUGCUUGUCGUGGUAUCUGUAAUGAGUCUGUAGCAAUGUGCUGUUUGGUUCCCUUUGCUGCUGUGUUUGUGUGACAGCAGGCAGCUUGCUAUGUUACCUGUGUAAUAAACUUCUGAGUUCAGCCUGCAGCCUUGCAAGGAUAGGCUAGUCCUGCAGCUGUUAAACUCUCCACAGAGAUUCAUGUACACAAAGCUCUUUGGUGAUCUGCUCGUGCUUAAUGUGCUGACUAACUUGCAGGUCAGUUUUGAAACUUUGUCGCAGAUUAGUCAGAGUGAUGGAGUUCUGUGCUUGUGCACUUCAGAUGGAGAGUCUUGUGAUCAGAAGAGUCCUCUCAGCCUGUGCCUUGUGUCCUGUAGUCUUGGGCUUAUAGAGAAAUAUUUUUUUAUAUUUGAAUGGAGAAAAUGGAUUUACUUUGGUUUAAAGAGCAACCUGACUGACUUCUUGUCUUCUUUGGGAGUUAUUUGGUCCUCAUUGUGAGCAAGUUGAAUAUAAGCUAAUGUUACAGCAGACCUUUGUCUCAGGUUUGGUCAUCUCCUGGGUUAAGGUCUGUCAUUGUGACAAAAACGAUGAGAGCUGCUGUUUAAGUGAUGCUUUAUCAUGGACUUUAGGUGUAUUUCUGAGACCAUGCAUAAAGAAAAUUUUUGCAGAAGUGGAUGCUUAACUUCCAUUUCACUUUGCAAAAUCAAGAGAAUAGGAAAGCAUGGGGGUAAUUACCUUUUCUCAUCUAAACAAACUUAAAAGCAAUCUUCUUAAAGCAGUGAUUCCAUUUGCAUCCUUCAGAAUAGGAGGAGCAUUGCUACUUUUAUCUAGCUUUCUCUCCUAUUUUAAAGUCAUUAGUGAAACUUAACUUUAUAUGAUACCAGAAUCUCUCUUCUGGGGUUUCUCUCAAGGGUCUUACUUUUAUCUUAUGAAGAAAAAAAAAAACAUCUGGCAGUGUUCACUUCCAAAUUGAAAAAAACUUUUCUUAAAAAAAACUACUGCACUUUUGUGCCAGUGAUCUUUUCUUGAUCUAAUAGUCCUCUUUGGUAAGUAAGAGGAGUGUUCCUUGCUGGUUUUAAAUGCCCUUUGGAAAAAUUGUGCUCUUAUUCAACUGGAAGUUGAAAGUUUCAGUUACCUUAGUGGUUAUUCUUUAUCUGCAUGCUGUACCUUACUAUCUUUCAAAAUAUUACAAGAUUAAGAAAAGGAUGAAGACAUGCGAGGGAACAUAUUGCAGAAAGUGUUGUGUAAGACAAGUGCACUGAGUCUUUGUCAAAACGAAGUGUCAAAGUCUCUUGAAGGGGGAAAAAGUAGUUUUUUCCCAAAAAUAUUUGCCAUGAAAUUUUAGUUUCUUCUAACUUAUACUUGGUGGGCAAAAUUGUAUCAAGUGUAACACUAAAUUUGGUAUUCAUGGUUAAAUGCCUAACUUCUGCCCACACAUUUCUCUUGGCUUUUUUAUACUUUUCUGUCAUCCUUGUCAAUACUGUGCAUUCAUACAAAAUAAGAAAAACGUAAUCUUCUGUAACUGUACAGUAAGAUGCUAUGAGAACUUAGUUCUUGUAUCUUACAGGAGUAUUUUUGUUAACUCACAAAAUCUAAUGCCUUGGUCUGGCCUCUGCAGUUUUCCUUGAGUGAUGUACAGUCAUUUGGGAAUUAAUGGCUUCAGUGCUCAGUUGACAUAGGCCAUGCAGAGGUCCAUUUUGCAUAUGAUCUUUUGAAUUCAGCAGGGAUGCUGCAUUUAUUUCUUGAACAGCCCUGAACUACUGGGAGAGCUGUGUUUUGCCAAAGAUCUCUUAAAACAGUGUUUUUCAAUCUGAAGCUGGCAAGAAGCAACUGUGGAAAAACAAGGCUAUUGCCAAUAGUUUAAAUUGUGUGGCAUUUUUAUGCUUUUCAGGAUUCCACAACUUGAAAAUUACUGCUCUAAAUGAUUUGGAAAUGAGGGCUAUUUUUCCUUUCCAAAGUGGCUGUAGGUGUUAAGGAGUAUGAGCUGACACUUAGUGAUCCAGUAGACUAGUAUUGAUUUUUAUCUUUCCUUCUUCUCAUACUUAGCUAUUUAAAAGUAUAUUUUAUCCAAAAAUGGAUAUCAUGGAGGAUACUAAGUCUGGAAAACUUCAGUUUGAAAGCUGACUUCUGAAAAAAGGUUAGAGUGGUGUUAAGUUUACAGAACUGCACUCUGUGAACGUAGAGCUUCUGUAUUUUCCCUUCCAAGAAUCUUGCUAUGAAGGCCAAACUCCUGCUAGUUUGUGUUAGAUCUAAAGAUUUCAUUACAUUCCUCCCUUACACGGUUGUGAAAGGAGCUUUAAAUAUGCAGGCUUGAGCAUAAACUGACGUAGUGUCCAUGCAGUGCAUUGGCAGAUGACCUAAAACAACAGGUAAACCACCUUUCGGGUCUCGAGAGGACAUGGAUUUAUUUGUUUUAAUGAGUAGAAGACAGUUGAAGUAUAGGAUGGAUGGUAAGCUGUUUGGUAAUCCCUUAGUGCACUGCUGUUCUGGGUAUCAAAACCCAAAUAGUCUCCACCCUGGCCACUGUCCACCUGGCUCUUUUUUUGCUAGAACCAUAGCUGAGGUCACAGUUUGAGCAUGCUAACAGUACAAAAUUGAGUAGAGUUCAGCGGUUACUCUGAUCAACAAGUUACUCAGUUUUAAAAUAGAUUAAAAUUUGACUUUGUAAGUUAAAGAUGUUGCAGAACUGUAGUUGACUUUGCCAUGGAGGCUGCACUCUUUUCCUAUGACAGAUUGGUUCUUGUUCUUAAAUCAUCUGUUUGCCUGUGACUAAUCUUGAAUUUGUAUCUUACUGCUGCUUGUACUUUGAAGUGAAUUCUGUGCUCCAAAUAAGAACAGCAAACAGGACUUUACAUUUUCUCAAUUCUUUGUAGCCCAAGGACUGCUCCUGGCGCUAGGGUAGGAAAUGCCUUACACAGCUUGGUAUAUAAUGGGAGGUGCUUGAGAGGAAGGCAAGAAGUCGAUCACAGCUGCUUUGGUCUAUACUUACUGGCAUGGUGAUGAACUUUAGCAGCUAAAUGCACUUGUGAUGACACCUCACAAACUUCAGAAAGUAAGCAGUUAUUUUUGGAAACUUUUUUCCCCUCAGGACUAAAACUACUAAACCUACUUAACAAAAAGUCUAUGCAAAAGCACUUUUUCCCAAGAAAUUGACACCUUCUGCUUAUCAUGUUUGUGGGCAUUUCAGCAUCCCAACCUUGUAUCCCUCUUGAUGUUCCUUCUUGUUCUACUAGUGUCUGAAAGUUGGAAGGCUUUCCAUAUUAGCUGUAAGGGAAGAACAGUUAUUUCCUAUUUAGUUAGGGGAAAGAGAUAAGCAAUCCCUUGAUCUCAUCUUUAAGGCAGAUGGAUCUUUGCUCUCAGCAUGCCAUGGUGCUGCCUAGGGGAGUCUUCAUGAUUCUGCUGGUAAGCAGCAAACAGAGCUAAUUUCUGAGUUGGUUUGUACUAGCUGACUUGAAGGGUUAAGAGUGCUGAAUUUAUUGUGCAGUUUUGAGAUUCUGUUGGUGUAAAAAAUUUCUUUAAUAAAUAAAUAAAUAAUGCUCUGAACACUGCUUUGCUGCCCUGUAGUUUUGCUUGUGUAGCUCUAUUUAGUCUGGUUUUAAGCUGGGUUGUGAAUACAAGGUUUAAUAAGCCUUGACUCAAAUGAGGAAUCGCAGGUUAGUGUGAACAGAGGCUAUGGGACCUUAGCUGUGAGUGGGUCAGAAUGAGAGCCAUGGAUGUGGGUGUGUGGAGGAAUCCCUGGAUCAGGGAUGUCCUUGCCUAUGAGCUAGAAGCAGUCUGUUCUCAGUGGCAGUGAAAGGACACCAGUGCCUGCAGGAGCAUGUUGUGGUUAUGUGUGACAAAUGAGGCUCUCCUGAGGAUUAAUUCCUGCUUUCUGUCAGUGUGGCAGCCAGUGUGUAAAUGUGCUUUGGCUGUGGUGCAAUAACUGCCUCACUCUCUGCUGUCAGUCCACACUCCUGUAGGACUGGGGUCUAAAGCAGCUUGAGUCAGUGGUCUUAGGAAAUUGAUCUCUUGCUUCAGAUGACCUAACAGAAGGUCAUAAGCUUACUCUUGUUUUCAAAGUGACAUGUAAAAUACUUGUCUGUGCACUUUCAAACAUCUUGGUACAGCAUUGUUUAACUCAGGUGGCUUCUCUCUGCUAGUUUUUUUUGUUUGAGGGGAGGUAGAGAUGAAAAUUAACUAAUAGACAUCAUGCACUGAAAUAUCCCAAGAGUUUUUCUUCUUGGAACCAGUGAAGGAAAAUUAAUAUAUCUUCGAAACUAGGUCUAUUGAAAAUCCAGACUUAGCAUUAAUGAGGAUGCUUCACGAAGAAUGCUUUUAGAAAAGGAGAUGAUGAGCUUUAAUAGCUGUGUAAAGACUAAAUUCUUCCAAAUACAUCUUAAAGCAUUCUUGGGGAAUGGUCAAAAUAUUUCCCACUAUAGAGAAAAAACAGUUGAGGUAACUAACUACCUGAUCUUCCCAUCAAGGAGAAAAAUGUAUUCUUUUGAAGCCUUUGCUUAUUAAAGUUCUAAUGUGAAACUUGAGGGGGCAGUGUUUGGGGAGGCACUGGUGGGACAAAGUAGCAGGUUCUGGUGGGUUUGGUUUGGUUUUUAGUUUGGAUGGUUGGGGGUUUUUAUUUUGUUUUGUUUUUGUUGUUUUAAGCUUAAAAAGUCAAAUGGAAGUCACCAUCAAAAACCUAUUCUAAAAACAUACUGUUUUCAGUUAAAGAGUUGUAGGUUAGGACAGCAAAGGGAUGUGCCUAGAUAGGUUCUCUGAUUUUUUUUUUUAAAGGAAAUUAACAGAAAAUGAUCAUCAAGAAUAUCUAACAAAAUUACUGUUGGCUUUUGAACCGUGAGUUAUUUUUUGUCCAGAAUUAAGUUAAACAUUGUGCUAUUUUUUAAACUGUAUUGCAUGACAUUAAGCAAGUUUCUAGAGGGUCAGAUUUCUGAAAAGGCGUGAAAUUACUCUCUUUGCAGUAUCACUCUUUUGGUGAAAAUUAUUGAAAUGUAUUGAUUAAGUUUAUAUACCCUAGAAGGGAUGUUUGGUGUUUGUAGAAGAUGCUAUAGGAAACAUUAAGUAGUCUUUUUUCCUUUUUAAAAUAAGGGAGAGAUUAUGCUAGAGCAACUGUAAUAAAGCAUUUCUCCCUGAUAUUAAAGAAACUGCAAGUCCAAAUUUUGGUCCUUGCCAAACGGCAAUUUAGUGUUACAUUUAGAGUAGAUACAGGUUUGGGCAAUGACUCCUACCAUAAGUUCUGAGAAAUCACAAUUGUAUGUCUUUUAACCUAAAUGAGCAGUAUGGGAGAGUAUAGUUGUUUAAUGCUGGCCAGUAUGUAAGAUUAUUCAGGAAAUAUUUUGGUUCCACCACAGGUAAAUAGAAUAUGUGUCCAAGGGAUGCAUAGCAGUAAAAAUGAAUUUCUGUAUAAAAUACAGUUCAUGGUUGCACAGCAGUUUUUACUGUCAUAUAGAUUUAAAAUGCUGCAGGAGAAGGCUGAUCAUACCAUUCCCUUUGUGCCACUGACCUCACUUUGUGUAAAUGUGUGCUGGGUUGGAUCAGGAAACUGAUCCCUGAACCAUCUUGUUGUGUUACUGUGCAAAUGUGAGAUGAGUGAGCAUCUGGGGGGGUGGGGAGGAUGAGUGGGAUCAGCUCUUUCAGCGGAGAGGUGGAUUUAUCACGGAUUAAAGUGCCAGGUGAUCAGUAAUCAUAGCUUCAAAACAUCGGAGACUUGCUGCAGAAUGAACUUCCGUGUUACAGUAACCUUCAGUUUGCAGUAGUCUGUCUUCUAGUGACUUGGGAUAAGUGAAUUGUGGAAUUUUGUAUUUUCUUACUCUGCUUCUCAUUGUUAACAAUUUUUGUACAGUAUAUUUUGCAGUCAUACAUUUUGCAUGCAUUUUACUGCUACAUGCAUUUUACUGCUGUUUAAUUUUUAUCACCCUCCUUUAAUGCACUUGAGUCAGGCAAGCCUCAUUUUACUCCUGAUGCUGCCUUAUUAGUCAAUGUGCCUUAAGUUACAGUAAGUCUUGAGCAGAUAAAGAUCUUUAUCCAACAUGUUUUUCAUAAAAAUUAACAGGAAGUUAUAGAGAAACUGAUGCUGUAAUUGGGGCAUUAGGGUCAUCACUACUUAGCAAAAAGUGUUUUUCAGGGAUGAAAACAGCUGAAUCUGUCUUUAUAUGCCCUAGUAUUCAUUCUCAUAGAUACUUCCUUGCUCUGGUUCCUUUGACAUAAUGGUAGUCUAAAUUCUCCUUUUGAACUAGAGUCAACACAUUUUUGAAUGUUGGCCUAAAGGAAGGGAUUCUCUUUAUCUCUUUGGGUAAUCUGUGUAUUUGGGCUUUAGCAAAAUGACAACAAUCUCUGCUAGGGUACCUUACACUUUAGGUUUAUGAUGCCAGUUAGGGAGGUGGGCCAGUGCUGAAACAGCUUGUUUGGGGUCAAUGUUCUCCCAAAGAGCAGGGGCAGUGGGUUUCUAGCCUCUAGAACCUCCUGGACCUCAACCCCUCAUUACACCAGACUUCAGAGCGUUCUUGGUCUAGUGCAGUAUCUUCCAUUUUCAGUGGAAACAGUCUCUACCACAGAGGGAUGCAUAGGUUUGGGCUGGGCUUUUUAUGUGGUUGGUUAGUCAGGAUGCAUAUUCAGCAUGUCUACUGGUUUAGGGAUUUUGUGUUAAGACAAGGUUUAAAACUGUCAUAGGGCUUGCUUUCAAAUGGGAGUCCUUAGGGAGGAAAAGCAGAUAGAGCUAAGGGCAGUUAGCACUUGUGCCGAGUUCAUCUGAGAUUCAUCAGCCAGCAGCUCUUGAUGGCUGAGCAAGAAAUAUGACAGGGCUGUCAGACCAGCCCUGUGUUCAGGAGAGAGAACUGGAGCAAGAUCCACUCCCCGCUAACACCUGUCUGCUCAUUCAGCAGUGGGUCCCAUUGCCUUCCAUAAGAGCUGUGUGAUCUGUGUGCUGGCCUCUCCUGCAGGAGCAUGGGUCUGUCCUGCUCCUGUGUAUCUCACCUGUUCUCUUCAGCACACUGUGCCAAAACCUAUGGACCAUGGAAUAUUGUUGACUCUAUCUCCUUUCUGUUUUAAUAGACCUUCAUUUUCCAGCAUCUUUACUGUAACAUGCAUGUCUCAUGGUUUUCAUUUGCAAGGAGUCCAGUGGAGUUACACAUCUGACAAACUGGAGUAAUUGCAUGCUGUUCUUUAACAGAUUUUUAAGCAGCAGCUACGCUUCUACUUCUGAAAAGAAGUUAUCUGUGCUUUGCUGGCUAUGCUUUUCAUGAUGGCAUUAAGUCAUCUCCUUGUAUUGCCACUUACACUUUUGCCCUUAUUGGAAUUGGGAUUCCAGGCUAGUUAAACCUUUGUCUUAACCCGGAACCCCAUUCUCAUGCAAGGUGAAUAUUUGUAAGUUACUGCUUAAAAAAAAAGAGACAUGAGGGCAUUGUGUGCAAAACCACUUAUCCUUUCUGCAGUCUCAUGAACUUCUAGCAGUGUAACUGAUGCAGUGUAGGAGUAGGAAUGAGUGAUGGAGUAGAGAAGGAAAGGGCUGCAAAACUUGCUGUUGCUACUGCUCCGGAGACUGUGCUUUGAAUCAGUAAGGUGAUUGGCCUUUGCCUCGAUGACGCUUGCCUCAUGCUAGCACUGGUGUUUUGAAAGGGGCAAAAGAUUACAGAGAUACUUUGCUAGUGUCCUCUGGUGCAAAAUCGGAGACUAAUUUUUGUUACGUCUGAAGCCUUGCAUCUUCCUGAAAUACACUGGGCUCUUCAAUGAGAUUAUGUGAUUCUUGGUUCUGUGCUGUCUUUAUAAUUUGAACUAAUUUAAAACCCAACCUAUGUUUCAUGUACCUUUGGCAUGAGGGAUACCUGCAACUUGUUGUUUAAAUCUCCAUUGAAAUAUGCAGGGCUAACCAGUUUCUGUCACAGAUGAGACAAACUGGUAGGAGCUGUUUUGUUCUUGCCAUCACACCACAAGCAGCAGCUGAAGAUGUGCCUAGGAUGACUUAUUUCAGAAAUCACAUAGCUUAGCAGUUGUCAAGAGGAGGGAAAACCUCCGGUCUCCUGUUUGCUUAUGAUGAUGGGAUGCACAAACUGGAGCAUAAGUUUCUAUGCUGGAGCUUCUCCUAAUAUUCAGCAACAUGAUAGGCAGGUAAAACGUGGUAAAAUGUUGAACCUUUUGGUUUGGGAUGUUAGUUUUUUGUGGUGUUUUGGUUUUGCUUUUUUUUCCUCUGUGGACUGCCAUGAGUAUAAAAGAUCUACAUUGCCUCAUGCAACCCUUGUUACCAAGGGAAACAAAUUCUGUAAAAUUAGCCUAUUUUGUUAAUUUGGGAAUGAAUCAGAAUAAAUGGUUCUUAGUUUGUGUCUAGAAAUAUUUCUUAGAAACAAAGGCUUGACAAUCUUGAAGAUGUAUGCUGGUUACCGUAACUUUUACAUUUACAUUUGUCUGCUGUGGGUGGGGAGUCUCUUGUAGCCUUUCUAAAGGCAGAGUCCAUGUUUUCCUCUUGUUAUCUUUGCUAUUAAACCUUGAUAGUGCUGACAUCUGCCUUGAUAGAUGAGUGAAUGUCAUUCUUGAGAAAAGUAAAUUUAAGGCAAAAGUAAAUGGUGAAGGAUUUUUUUUAAUUCUUCUUUCUUUCUAGUAGUUGAACUAGCUGUUUUGGUUUAUUUUCUCAAGGACCACAGGAAUAAAUCUGAACAAUGCAAGGUUGAAUUGCACCUGUAAAAAUGGAUUCAUUUUCUUAGCUUCCUCCUGUUCUGCACAAAGCCACAAGCAGCAGAAGUACUGGAAGAGCCUGCUGCGUAGGCUUAUGCUAACCGUAUGUUAACUUUGCUUAAAAAAAAUUAAACCCUACCUCCUGCAGAACUUGAUUUGCCAUUGAGAAGAGCUUUCCACUUGCUGGGCACGAAGGAGAAUUUUUCAGUCCCUGGCAAUUGUGGAGAGAGAUGGCUAUUGUUAUUGGCUCAAAGACUGUAGAAAGAACUUUAAUUUCCCUGCUCUGUUUGGUGCCUCUGCAACUCCAGACUGUCUUUCAGUGCAAAUAUUUAGCUGACUGUCCACUGUUGCCUCUUCUAGGUUCCUUUCAUUUUACAUUUUAUUCCACUAUCCUUGUGGUUCUUCUGCAUUGAGGGUUUGGAGUAUUUUUCAUGAGGUGUUUUUGUUUCCAAAGCAAUUUUAUUUUUUCUCUGGGUCAUUUAUGUAUUUGUCUUCACUAAUGUUUGCAACAUCUCCGAACAUAGUGAAUUUACUCUGUGAAUUUAACUAACGUGCUGUUUACCCUUUCUUCCAGAUCCAGUUUCUGAUCCUACUUCCCCAUUUGGGAGUAUGCAAGGGACAAACACAUCUCUUUGCGUAGCUUGACUGGAUAUCCCAAGACUAGGAUGAAAAUAUCAUCUGCCAAAUGGAAAAGGACAAUCGGUGGGAAAAGAAAUGUUCUUUUCAAGCUUCUAAGAGCAGUGACAAUGGAGAGAAAAAAUACUAUAAAAAGUAGGCAGCUCCUUUUUCAAGAUUUUGUUUUCAAUGUAUUCUGCAUGAUUAACUGUACACAGUUGCUCUUUUGGAGCCCUGAAUGACUGAACACAACAUCACAGGGCUUAAACUGCCUUUGCUGCAUUGCACUUUGCAUUUGGGGGGAAUAGGGCUCAGCUUUAUGGCAGUUUUACCAGUCUCUUAGUAGAAUUUUUGAAUACAUUCAUACUUCCCUUAUUUGCCUUUUUUAAUGUCAAACAUUGCACAUAAGAUGUUCUGCUGUUGCUAUGCAACUGCUAAAUCCAA
This is a non-coding RNA of Taeniopygia guttata (zebra finch), 16698 nucleotides long. NCBI's taxonomy places the organism in Eukaryota, Metazoa, Chordata, Aves, Passeriformes, Estrildidae. The record is from RefSeq and is a predicted model, not a curated record.